GAUGAACGCUAGCUACAGGCUUAACACAUGCAAGUCGAGGGGAAACGGCAUUAAGUGCUUGCACUUUUUGGACGUCGACCGGCGCACGGGUGAGUAACGCGUAUCCAACCUUCCCAUGACUAAGGGAUAACCUGCCGAAAGGCAGACUAAUACCUUAUGGUCUUCACUGACGGCAUCAGAUGUGAAGUAAAGAUUUAUCGGUUAUGGAUGGGGAUGCGUCUGAUUAGCUUGUUGGCGGGGUAACGGCCCACCAAGGCAACGAUCAGUAGGGGUUCUGAGAGGAAGGUCCCCCACAUUGGAACUGAGACACGGUCCAAACUCCUACGGGAGGCAGCAGUGAGGAAUAUUGGUCAAUGGGCGAGAGCCUGAACCAGCCAAGUAGCGUGCAGGAAGACGGCCCUAUGGGUUGUAAACUGCUUUUGUAUGGGGAUAAAGUCAAUCACGUGUGAUUGUUUGCAGGUACCAUACGAAUAAGGACCGGCUAACUCCGUGCCAGCAGCCGCGGUAAUACGGAAGGUCCGGGCGUUAUCCGGAUUUAUUGGGUUUAAAGGGAGCGUAGGCUGGAGAUUAAGUGUGUUGUGAAAUGUAGACGCUCAACGUCUGACUUGCAGCGCAUACUGGUUUCCUUGAGUACGCACAACGUUGGCGGAAUUCGUCGUGUAGCGGUGAAAUGCUUAGAUAUGACGAAGAACUCCGAUUGCGAAGGCAGCUGACGGGAGCGCAACUGACGCUGAAGCUCGAAGGUGCGGGUAUCGAACAGG
This 761-nucleotide ribosomal RNA is filed under the name Prevotella melaninogenica. RNAcentral's name for it is "bacterial SSU rRNA". It matches the Rfam family "Bacterial small subunit ribosomal RNA", at positions 28 to 776 of the family's 1533-position model. The record is from RNAcentral. Lineage: Bacteria; Pseudomonadati; Bacteroidota; Bacteroidia; Bacteroidales; Prevotellaceae.